This 600-nucleotide ribosomal RNA is filed under the name Enterobacter cloacae. Its description in RNAcentral is "bacterial SSU rRNA". It matches the Rfam family "Bacterial small subunit ribosomal RNA", at positions 868 to 1469 of the family's 1533-position model. Lineage: Bacteria; Pseudomonadati; Pseudomonadota; Gammaproteobacteria; Enterobacterales; Enterobacteriaceae. The record is from RNAcentral.
ACCGCCUGGGGAGUACGGCCGCAAGGUUAAAACUCAAAUGAAUUGACGGGGGCCCGCACAAGCGGUGGAGCAUGUGGUUUAAUUCGAUGCAACGCGAAGAACCUUACCUGGUCUUGACAUCCACAGAACUUUCCAGAGAUGGAUUGGUGCCUUCGGGAACUGUGAGACAGGUGCUGCAUGGCUGUCGUCAGCUCGUGUUGUGAAAUGUUGGGUUAAGUCCCGCAACGAGCGCAACCCUUAUCCUUUGUUGCCAGCGGUCCGGCCGGGAACUCAAAGGAGACUGCCAGUGAUAAACUGGAGGAAGGUGGGGAUGACGUCAAGUCAUCAUGGCCCUUACGACCAGGGCUACACACGUGCUACAAUGGCGCAUACAAAGAGAAGCGACCUCGCGAGAGCAAGCGGACCUCAUAAAGUGCGUCGUAGUCCGGAUUGGAGUCUGCAACUCGACUCCAUGAAGUCGGAAUCGCUAGUAAUCGUAGAUCAGAAUGCUACGGUGAAUACGUUCCCGGGCCUUGUACACACCGCCCGUCACACCAUGGGAGUGGGUUGCAAAAGAAGUAGGUAGCUUAACCUUCGGGAGGGCGCUACCACUUUGAUCAU